AGGUAGCCGUACCGGAAGGUGCGGCUGGAUCACUCCUAACAGGGAGACAAAACUGAUUAUGAUGUUUGGAUUUUUAUCUUCAAGCCAUAAUCCUGUCACCUUAGGUCGAUCGGUACCUCAAUUUAAUGUUUAAAACUAACUUUUUUGUUUUAAACAAACCAUUAAAUUUAGUUCCUAAACUUUUGUCUAGGUCACACCCAACAAGGGUACUCCUGGGCCAUUAGCUCAGGUGGUUAGAGCGCACCCCUGAUAAGGGUGAGGUCCCUGGUUCAAGUCCAGGAUGGCCCAUUCGGUGUUGGGGGUAUAGCUCAGUUGGUAGAGCGCCUGCUUUGCAAGCAGGAUGUCAGCGGUUCGAGUCCGCUUACCUCCACUGAUCGACCUUCUGAAAUCGAAGCUUAUGGAGACCUUACUUUGAUGUGAUCUAGAUAUGUUCUUGAAUAAAAUGAACCUAGCUUCUUAUCAUUCCACCUAAAUUAUUUUUAGGUUUGGUUGAUAUGACGCUGGGCUCCGCUGCAAGUUAGCUUGCAGAGAAGUUCAGUAGAACCUUGAAAACUGCAUAGGUGAGUCUGGAAAAAAUAAAGCAUCUCAUGGAUGAAUUGUUUUUUUAGCCAUAGUAAUAGAUGUUUUGAUUUGAUCGAAAUAUUAUUAUUUUGGUUAAGAUUAUGAUUUUCAAUUCUUGAGCAAGAGCCGAGACUUUAUAACGGUCUUUCUCUGCUAAUUGCAUUGAGAGUUAGAUCUUUGAUUUUAUUUUCUAACGGCUGUUUAUAUUAGAUUUAUCUAAAUUAUUCAUGCCUAUAAAUAGAACUUAAAAUCAAAGAGAAUAGUGUUAAAACAUAUGCCGUUAUAAAGGUUAAUGGUCAAGCUACAA
Molecule: transfer RNA, 868 nt
Filed under: uncultured Prochlorococcus sp.
Lineage: Bacteria; Bacillati; Cyanobacteriota; Cyanophyceae; Synechococcales; Prochlorococcaceae
Description: partial 16S-23S ribosomal RNA intergenic spacer; may also contain 16S ribosomal RNA and 23S ribosomal RNA
Rfam family: tRNA (bases 298-370)
Source: RNAcentral